UCCGAGUUGACCCCGGCAGUCUCCCAUGAGUCCCCGGCAUAACCCGCUGGCAACAUGGAACGAGGGUUGCGCUCGUUGCGGGACUUAACCCAACAUCUCACGACACGAGCUGACGACAGCCAUGCACCACCUGCACACCAGCCACAAGGGAACGCCUAUCUCUAGACGCGUCUAGUGCAUGUCAAACCCAGGUAAGGUGGGGAUGACGUUACGGUCUUACU
This 221-nucleotide unclassified non-coding RNA is filed under the name uncultured Actinomycetes bacterium. RNAcentral's name for it is "uncultured actinobacterium contains 16S-23S intergenic spacer region". Lineage: Bacteria; Bacillati; Actinomycetota; Actinomycetes. The record is from RNAcentral.